AGAGUUUGAUCCUGGCUCAGAUUGAACGCUGGCGGCAGGCUUAACACAUGCAAGUCGAGCGGAAACGAUGAUAGCUUGCUAUCAGGCGUCGAGCGGCGGACGGGUGAGUAAUACUUAGGAAUCUACCUAGUAGUGGGGGAUAGCACGGGGAAACUCGUAUUAAUACCGCAUACGACCUACGGGAGAAAGGGGGCAGUUUACUGCUCUCGCUAUUAGAUGAGCCUAAGUCGGAUUAGCUAGAUGGUGGGGUAAAGGCCUACCAUGGCGACGAUCUGUAGCUGGUCUGAGAGGAUGAUCAGCCACACCGGGACUGAGACACGGCCCGGACUCCUACGGGAGGCAGCAGUGGGGAAUAUUGGACAAUGGGGGAAACCCUGAUCCAGCCAUGCCGCGUGUGUGAAGAAGGCCUUUUGGUUGUAAAGCACUUUAAGCAGUGAAGAAGACUCCGUGGUUAAUACCCACGGACGAUGACAUUAGCUGCAGAAUAAGCACCGGCUAACUCUGUGCCAGCAGCCGCGGUAAUACAGAGGGUGCAAGCGUUAAUCGGAAUUACUGGGCGUAAAGGGAGCGUAGGUGGCUCUAUAAGUCAGAUGUGAAAUCCCCGGGCUCAACCUGGGAACUGCAUCUGAAACUGUAGAGCUAGAGUAUGUGAGAGGAAGGUAGAAUUCCAGGUGUAGCGGUGAAAUGCGUAGAGAUCUGGAGGAAUACCGAUGGCGAAGGCAGCCUUCUGGCAUAAUACUGACACUGAGGCUCGAAAGCGUGGGUAGCAAACAGGAUUAGAUACCCUGGUAGUCCACGCCGUAAACGAUGUCUACUAGUCGUUGGGUCCCUUGAGGACUUAGUGACGCAGCUAACGCAAUAAGUAGACCGCCUGGGGAGUACGGCCGCAAGGUUAAAACUCAAAUGAAUUGACGGGGGCCCGCACAAGCGGUGGAGCAUGUGGUUUAAUUCGAUGCAACGCGAAGAACCUUACCUGGUCUUGACAUAUCUAGAAUCCUGCAGAGAUGCGGGAGUGCCUUCGGGAAUUAGAAUACAGGUGCUGCAUGGCUGUCGUCAGCUCGUGUCGUGAGAUGUUGGGUUAAGUCCCGCAACGAGCGCAACCCUUGUCCUUAGUUACCAGCGGGUUAAGCCGGGAACUCUAAGGAUACUGCCAGUGACAAACUGGAGGAAGGCGGGGACGACGUCAAGUCAUCAUGGCCCUUACGACCAGGGCUACACACGUGCUACAAUGGUAGGUACAGAGGGCAGCUACACAGCGAUGUGAUGCGAAUCUCAAAAAGCCUAUCGUAGUCCAGAUUGGAGUCUGCAACUCGACUCCAUGAAGUAGGAAUCGCUAGUAAUCGCGGAUCAGAAUGCCGCGGUGAAUACGUUCCCGGGCCUUGUACACACCGCCCGUCACACCAUGGGAGUUGAUUGCACCAGAAGUGGAUAGCUUAACCUUCGGGGAGGCGUUCACCACGGUGUGG
This 1466-nucleotide ribosomal RNA is filed under the name Psychrobacter sp. RNAcentral describes it as "bacterial SSU rRNA". It matches the Rfam family "Bacterial small subunit ribosomal RNA". Lineage: Bacteria; Pseudomonadati; Pseudomonadota; Gammaproteobacteria; Moraxellales; Moraxellaceae. RNAcentral also lists the same sequence under 1 other name. The record is from RNAcentral.